Molecule: long non-coding RNA, 3529 nt
Filed under: Macaca mulatta (Rhesus monkey)
Lineage: Eukaryota; Metazoa; Chordata; Mammalia; Primates; Cercopithecidae
Description: lncRNA (ENSMMUG00000052128.1)
Source: RNAcentral
AAACAAUGUCAGUUUCAUAUGGACUAUUCCAAAUAAUAGAAAAAAGAGACAAUAUUCCAUAACUUACAUAAAAGGCUAGCAACAUCUUCACGCUAAAACUUGACAAGAACAGUAUGAAGGGAAAAAAAUCGCAUUUAAUAAUCACAUUAAUUACAUAUUUAAUAUAUUUAAUAAUAUCAGUGUAAAAAUCCUAAACCAAAUAUAAGCAACUUGAAUCUAGGAAUAUACAAAAAGUCUGAUAAAUCAUGAACAAAUUGUGUAAAGUUGAUAAAAGUGAACUUUUCCAAGACUGAUCUCCACAGGGUGUUCUCCCUAAGAGGAAGAAACUGCCUCUAGUAAAACUGACCUUCUGAGUGGUUCCAUGGAGAGCUGUGUGGUCCCGGUGCUCAGACCGAACAGGUAAGCCUCAAGACCUGUACCCCAGCCACUCCAUCCCCAUCAUGCCAGGGAUAAGUUCCUUCUCCAACCACGAAAGCUGAUGUGGUGACUUCUGCCUUUGGCUUUGCAUGUGAUAAAGCUACCAUGAAAAGCUUAGACCCCAUUCUCAGACCAUAAAAGGAGAAGACCUGGCAUCCCCUUCAGUAAGCCAUAACUGAAUGCGUAGCUUAACUGAUGGAGUAGGGCUGGGGCAAAGCCUCUGCCACAACAUAUCACAGUUGCAUACUAAGCCAUAGUGACACCAAAGAGGGGCUAUAGUCAUGCAGUGGAGAAGCUCACAGACCAAUGCUUAAGGUCUCUUAUCUGAUCCUGUCUGAUUGUUGUUCAUGGAUAUGCAGUGUGACAGGUAUCACCUGCCUCAGUUCCCGUCUCUUGGAGGACAACAUCAAGGACGAUGGUCUAGUGAAUGGCCUUAGAUCUGACCCAUUCUCAGUAUCUACUGAGAGGCUGCUGCCACAUAGCACAGAGCUGGAUGGUCUGAUACUUUGGGGUGGGUCAGAGCUUUCAAAGAACUUCCCAUCUAAGGAGGCAGCAAAGCUGACAGAAAUGUAGGGACCACAUCAGGCCUUCACCUGUCUGUUUCCACAAUGGAGUGACAGAAAUCUGCUAUUUUCUUCCAGGAGCAAGUCUGGCUGAGCCUUUAAUAUCCAUUUCCUUACCACAAGAAAUUCUGUCUGGGCUUCACGUCUUAAGCAGUGACUACAACAGAUCUCCUUAGCAGAUCUGUAAGAAGGAUAUCAGUUUCAUUUUUACAAAAUCCAGAAUUUUUGUUGGAAGUUAGCAAUGUUAGAGUAGUGACUAUGUAUGGAAGAGGGGGCUAGGUGGCAAAAGGAAGAGCAGGAAGGAAAAAGGUGAAGACCACUGGGAAAGUAAACUAGAGUGGUGCAUCCUAGCCUUUGAAUUACUUUGGCAACUAUUUGUUUACGUAUCUGUUUCUAUGAAUGGAAAGUUCCUUGAGGACAGGGACUCUGUCUUAUUUGCAUUUGCAAUCAUUGCAUCUAAUACAGGGAUGUGGAAUACUCCCACUCCUCUGCUUACCUUUUCUCUCAUUAUUGUUCUCUCUCUCCUCCCCAAGGGCAGAGGAGUUGCUCAUGUAUUUAGUCUGAGUUUACUGUAUUGACUAGACCAUAUCGAUCACCAGAUAAGGUCACUGAUCAUACUCAUCUAUGGGAUAGGAAGCUAAAUGAACCAAGAACAGUGAGAUCUAAUAGGCUAGGAGUGACUACGAGUCAAUGGUCUGGAGCCUAGUAGAUAAAUAUUUUAAACAAGGCAUCACGAUUAUGUUUGCUGGAUAUGGACCUCUGGUCAGGUACACAGAACCACUGACUAACAUACAUUCUGACUGUAUAGAUUCUCUGUUAUCAUAUGGAAGAAUCAACUACAAAAAGACAUUUUUCUAAUUCUUGGACUUUUUGCUAGUAUACAUAUAGAUUUCAGAAACAAAUGCUUUGCUAAGGUUUUACUUCAUUAAUUAAUAUGUAUAUGAAGAACCUAUUCCAUUCAUUCAGUUACUCUUUUAUCUGUGCUAUGCAGAAUUGAAUGAUCUAUGUACUCUGCAAUGCUCUGCCAACACCUCAAGCUAGAAUCUAUUAUUAAUUGUCAGAUAGAACUGGCUUCAUGGGUGUGCAAUCUGUGUAGGCACACAAUGCCUCACACUCAAAAAAAAGAUCUACAGUUGAUACAAUGCUCUGCUGUCAAUAUCUAGAACUUCUUAUAAAUUUUUCACAAGGGAACUUGUAUUUGUUCCCAUCUUAAAAAAAAAAAAAAAAAAAAAAAAAAAAAAAAAAAAAGCCAGUGCGUAGUAGGGAUCUAGACAAGUAGCCCAUGGGCCUAUCUCAGAUCUCAGAAGUCAGAAGAAGAGAGACAGACACAAGAAAAAACCAAAUCCUGAAUAUAUAAUAUUGGAAUCUUUAAAAAUUUACCUAGUUAAUUUGUUAAUUAGCUAGAUUGAAUCAUUCCACAGUGUAUAUAUACUUGAAAAUAUCAUGUUGUAUAUGAUAAAUACACAAAUUUUAUCUGUUGACUUAAACGAUAAAACAAAAAGUAACUUUCAUCCCUCAAACAAUAAAAAUCCAAAAAGAAUGUGGAUCCAUGUUAAGAAGGCAUGGUCUCUGAAGUAGUUCCCUGCCUUCACUUUUAUUUAUUUUUAAAUUUUAUUAUGCAAAAUUUUAGAUAUUAUAAAUGUGUAUAAAUAAUAUAAUUAUCCUCCCUAUACUUAUACAGCUCCAACAGUUGUCAAUAUUUUGUUAAUCAUGUUUCAUUCAUUUCUCUAUUUUUGGUGAAGUGUUUUAAUUAAAAUCCCUAUAUUUCACCCAUAAAUACUUCAGUGUGCAAGUCUAAAAGAUAUUCUUUUUUAAAUACAACCUCAAUAUUAUUGUCAGACCUAACAAAAGUUUAAAAAAUUAAUGAUCAGUUUAUGUUCAAAUUCCUCAAAGAUGCCUUUUGAUAGUUACUUUGUUAAAUUUCAAUCCUGACAAGGUUUGCAUUUGUUUGGUAUUGUCACUUAACUUUCUUUUAAACUACUAUAAUUCUCCUUAUCUCCAUUUUUUUUAUGCUAUAUAUUUGUAGAAAUAUAUUGGUUAUUUGCUUGUGUAAUUACCCACGUUCAGAAUUUGGCUAAUUGCAUCUUCACAAGGUUGCUGCUCUAGCCCCAGAAUUCAUGUGAUAAUUGAUUUUAGAUUUAGGGAAUGGGUUAGAUUUGGUUUAAUUUGGGGGCAAGAAAACUACAUAAAUGGUGCUGCAUAUUUUCUUUUAUUUCUCCAACUUUAUUUGGGUAUAAUUGAAAAAUAAAAACUGUAUACAUGCAAGGUAUACAUGUACAUUGUAGAGAUUUACCCCUAUGUUUUCUUCUAGUGAUUUUACAGUUUCAGGUCUAAUAUUUAAGAAUUUAAUCCAUUUUGAGUUGAUUUUUGCAUAUGUUGUGAGAUAAAGAUACAGUGUCAUUCUUCUGCAUAUGGAUAUCCAAUUUUACCAACAUUAUUUAUUUAAGAGACUAUCCUUUUUCUCAUUUUGUGUUCUUGGCACCUUUGUCGAAAACCAAAUGACUAUAACUGUGUGGGUUUAUUUCAGGAAUUUCUGUCCUGUUCCAUUG